CAGCAGCCACGGGAAUACGUAGGGUGCGAGCGUUAAUCGGCAUUACUGGGCGUAAAGCGUGCGCAGGCGGUUGUGUAAGACAGGUGUGAAAUCCCCGGGCUCAACCUGGGAAUGGCAAUGGAUACUGGCAAGCUAGAGUGUGUCAGAGGAUGGUGGAAUUCCCGGUGUAGCGGUGAAAUGCGUAGAGACCGGGAGGAACAUCAGUGGCGAAGGCGGCCAUCUGGGACAACACUGACGCUGAGGCACGAAAGCGUGGGGAGCAAACAGGAUUAGAUACCCCCGUAGUCCCUGUCUCUUAUAA
RNAcentral lists this ribosomal RNA (301 nucleotides) under uncultured bacterium. Its description in RNAcentral is "partial 16S ribosomal RNA". It matches the Rfam family "Bacterial small subunit ribosomal RNA", at positions 509 to 809 of the family's 1533-position model. The record is from RNAcentral.